RNAcentral lists this ribosomal RNA (1346 nucleotides) under uncultured bacterium. RNAcentral describes it as "partial 16S ribosomal RNA". It matches the Rfam family "Bacterial small subunit ribosomal RNA", at positions 28 to 1381 of the family's 1533-position model. The record is from RNAcentral.
GACGAACGCUGGCGGCGUGCUUAGCACAUGCAAGUCGAACGGAAAGGCCCUGCUUUUGUGGGGUGCUCGAGUGGCGAACGGGUGAGUAACACGUGAGUAACCUGCCCUUGACUUUGGGAUAACUUCAGGAAACUGGGGCUAAUACCGGAUAGGAGCUCCUGCUGCAUGGUGGGGGUUGGAAAGUUUCGGCGGUUGGGGAUGGACUCGCGGCUUAUCAGCUUGUUGGUGGGGUAGUGGCUUACCAAGGCUUUGACGGGUAGCCGGCCUGAGAGGGUGACCGGCCACAUUGGGACUGAGAUACGGCCCAGACUCCUACGGGAGGCAGCAGUGGGGAAUAUUGCACAAUGGGCGGAAGCCUGAUGCAGCAACGCCGCGUGCGGGAUGACGGCCUUCGGGUUGUAAACCGCUUUCGCCUGUGACGAAGCGUGAGUGACGGUAAUGGGUAAAGAAGCACCGGCUAACUACGUGCCAGCAGCCGCGGUGAUACGUAGGGUGCGAGCGUUGUCCGGAUUUAUUGGGCGUAAAGGGCUCGUAGGUGGUUGAUCGCGUCGGAAGUGUAGUCUUGGGGCUUAACCCUGAGCGUGCUUUCGAUACGGGUUGACUUGAGGAAGGUAGGGGAGAAUGGAAUUCCUGGUGGAGCGGUGGAAUGCGCAGAUAUCAGGAGGAACACCAGUGGCGAAGGCGGUUCUCUGGGCCUUUCCUGACGCUGAGGAGCGAAAGCGUGGGGAGCGAACAGGCUUAGAUACCCUGGUAGUCCACGCUGUAAACGGUGGGUACUAGGUGUGGGGUCCAUUCCACGGGUUCCGUGCCGUAGCUAACGCUUUAAGUACCCCGCCUGGGGAGUACGGCCGCAAGGCUAAAACUCAAAGGAAUUGACGGGGCCCCGCACAAGCGGCGGAGCAUGCGGAUUAAUUCGAUGCAACGCGUAGAACCUUACCUGGGUUUGACAUGGAUCGGGAGUGCUCAGAGAUGGGUGUGCCUCUUUUGGGGUCGGUUCACAGGUGGUGCAUGGCUGUCGUCAGCUCGUGUCGUGAGAUGUUGGGUUAAGUCCCGCAACGAGCGCAACCCUUGUUCACUGUUGCCAGCACGUUAUGGUGGGGACUCAGUGGAGACCGCCGGGGUCAACUCGGAGGAAGGUGGGGAUGACGUCAAGUCAUCAUGCCCCUUAUGUCCAGGGCUUCACGCAUGCUACAAUGGCUGGUACAGAGAGUGGCGAGCCUGUGAGGGUGAGCGAAUCUCGGAAAGCCGGUCUCAGUUCGGAUUGGGGUCUGCAACUUGACCUCAUGAAGUCGGAGUCGCUAGUAAUCGCAGAUCAGCAACGCUGCGGUGAAUACGUUCCCGGGGCU